GCUGUGAAUAAUGUGCAUUAAAAAAUUGUAUCUUUACCAUAGGACAUGGGUUUGUCAACUGAAAUCAAAGUUUUUGACCUUGACCUUUGACCUAGGAAGUUGUAAAUAAAUUAUGACAUACCCUUUGGUGUUGGUUUAUAAACAUGUCAAGUAUAAACUUUGAAAUGAUAACGGUUCUCAAGAUAUAGAGCGGACACGAUCUUUACCAUAGGACAUGGGGUUGACAACUGAAACCAAAGUUUUUGACCUUGACCUUUGACAAAGGAAGUUGCACAUAAAUUAUGACACACCCUUUGGUGUUGGUUUAUAUACAUGUCAAGUAUAAACUUUGAAAUGAUAACGGUUCUCAAGAUAUAGAGCGGACACAAUCUUUACCAUAGGAUAUGGGGUUGUCAACUGAAACCAAAGUUUUUGACCUUGAACUUUGCCCUAGGCAGUCGUUCAUAAAUUAUGACACACCCUCUGGUGUUGGUUCAUAUACAUGUCAAGUAUAAACUUUGAAAUCAUAACGGUUCUCAAGAUAUAGAGCGGACACGAUCUUCACCACAGGACACAGGGUUGUCAACUGAAACCAAAGUUUUUGACCUUGACCUUUGACCUAGGAAGUUUUACAUACAUCAUGACACACCCUCUGGUGUUGGUUAAAAUGGAUGUCAAGUAUAAACUUUGAAAUCAUAACGGUUUUUAAGAUAUAGAGCGGACACAAAGUUAAAGUGUUACGGACGGACGGACGGACAGACGGACGGACGGACGGACAGACUGAUCACUAUAGGGCGACCCGCCUUAGUCGGCGGGGCCCUAAUGAACG
This 808-nucleotide long non-coding RNA is filed under the name Mytilus galloprovincialis (Mediterranean mussel). The record is from RNAcentral. Lineage: Eukaryota; Metazoa; Mollusca; Bivalvia; Mytilida; Mytilidae.